CUUCGGUUCACCGGGCGCACUGCUUUUACAAAGAAACGAUUUUACAAACUGAGUAAUCCACACAAAUAGUCCCUUUUUAUGUCUCCACAUUACAAUCACACACAAAGUACAACCCAACUUCAUUUUUUUUCCUGAAAUGCACUGAAUCGCACGCAUUAACAUAGCAAGAAUGCAAAUGGUCUGCGCCGCCGAACCGCACGCACUCGCCAGACGUAAUGCAUGCACUGUAAAUGCACUGUACAAGCAAGCUAGCUGCAAAACAAACUUCAGUGAGCUGCAGAUAGGGUCCCGUCGGCGCUUGAACGGAUUAGGAGGGGUUGAUUUGCGACGAAAUGCUCACAGCACUUCUUACAUGGGCACCGCCACCGGACUGCACGACCGCGUGCACCGCACUGCACGACACAUGCCGAAUACUGUGAGGGCUCACCCCCAAUGGACUGCAUCAACGCACUGCAAAAUAUACCCAAUGGAAGCUUCUGAACUGCACUGCACCCAAAUUACAUCAGUUUUUCUGAAAAACAUUGGAAAUUAUUCUAAACAGCAACAAUACUGGGAUGGGAUGCACAUGGUGAGCUGCAUGGCAUCGCGCCUCCGUACUGCAUGCCGUUGGUGGCUGGGACCUCGUCAGAAUAAGAGGAAAGGGGUUGGCAGAGAGGUUGGGGAGAAGAGCCCCUCAUCGUCUUGCUCUAGAGGAGGUAGGGGAAGGUCACCUGAAUGAGGAGGAGGCGACGGGGGUCAGAUUUAUGCGGUGGGGGAAGGAGCCCGGCUGCACGUGCGCGGAUUUUUGCUGAAUGAGUAGGUUGGUUUGCUCGUCGGAUCCGCCGCGGGAAGCGGAGGGGUGCUAGUGCAUGCCUCCUGACUGGCCUCCUCCCGGUGGCAAGCAGGGGAGUUGCUCGACGGGGCCUCCCUGCCGUAGAGGGAGAGGACGACCAGAGCCGGAUCCGCCGCGGGCAGCAGAGGCACUGGUGUGGAUUUCGUCGGAUCCAGCGCCGGGCUGCGCGAGUGGACGGAUUCCACACUGAGGGUCGGCGGCGGCCGGAUUCGUCGUUUAUGGCCGCACCAAUGGUCGUGGCGGCUGGAUCCGGUGGCUGAGGCCGCGUCGGGGGCGGAGGAGCGGCCGGAUCCCGCCAUGACCGCUGAUGGCGAGGGAGAAAGAGAAGGGUGGCGGCCGGCGUAGAAGGUGGUGCCAUGGGAUGUGGCCGGAGAAGGUGGUGGGCGGCGCCGCCGGAG
Molecule: ribosomal RNA, 1230 nt
Filed under: Triticum aestivum (bread wheat)
Lineage: Eukaryota; Viridiplantae; Streptophyta; Magnoliopsida; Poales; Poaceae
Description: partial small subunit ribosomal RNA
Source: RNAcentral